UGCAAGCAAAAUCAUGGUACAUCAUUUCAUGUCCCACGUUUAACCGUUCGUCUUAUUUAAUUUUUUUUUUAUAAUUACUACUUUUAUUGUUAUUAGAUGAUAAAAUAUGAAUAGUACUUUACGUAUGACUAAUUUUUUUAAUAUUUUUCAUAAAUUUUUCAAAUAAGACGGAUGGUUAAAACGAUGAACACGGAUACUUAU
This is a non-coding RNA of Oryza meridionalis, 201 nucleotides long. NCBI's taxonomy places the organism in Eukaryota, Viridiplantae, Streptophyta, Magnoliopsida, Poales, Poaceae. The record is from Rfam.